Lepidothrix coronata (blue-crowned manakin) is the source of this 972-nucleotide long non-coding RNA. RefSeq lists it as uncharacterized. NCBI's taxonomy places the organism in Eukaryota, Metazoa, Chordata, Aves, Passeriformes, Pipridae. The record is from RefSeq and is a predicted model, not a curated record. The transcript is spliced from 3 exons.
GCUGCAACGCGCGCAAGAAGGACGCCGUCCUCACCAAGUGCUUCCACGUCUUCUGCUUCGAGUGCGUCAAGAGCCGCUACGACACCCGCCAGCGCAAGUGCCCCAAGUGCAACGCCGCCUUUGGCGCCCACGACUUCCACCGCGUCUACAUCAGCUGAGCCCCUCCCCCCCCGGGCCACCCGCCGUGGCCAAAGGUCAACCCCGCUUGGCCAAGGUCAACGUUGGGGGUCGUCACCACAUUGGACCCCCAAAUUUUCCCCUUUUUUGACCGUCAAGGUUGAGUUUUGACCAACCGGUUGACCCUUGACCUUUCUCUGGUGACCCACGGCCACCCACCAUGACCAAAGGUCAACCCCGGUUGGCCAAGGUCAACGUUGGGGGUCGUCACCACAUUGGACCCCCAAUUUCCCCAUUUUUUGACUUUCAUGGUUGACCUUUGAUCCUGCAGCCCCAUAGUGACCCCCAGGUGACCCCCAGGUGACCUCUGACCCCCCCACAAUAACCAAAGGUCAACCCCGGUUGGCCAAGGUCAACGUUGGGGGUCGUCACCACCUUGGCCCCCCAAUUUCCCCAUUUUUGGACUUUCAUGGUUGACCUUUGACCCCCCAGCCCAUAGUGACCCCCAGGUGACCUCUGACCCCCCCACAAUAACCAAAGGUCAACCACAGUUGGCCAAGGUCAACGUUGGGGGUCGUCACCACCUCAGACCCCAAAUUUCCCCCCUUUUUUGACCCUCAUGGUUGACCUUUGACCCCGUAGCCCCAUAGUGACCCCCAGGUGACCUGUGAUGACCCCACAAUGCCCAAAGGUCAACCACACUUGGCCAAGGUCAACGUUGGGGGUCGUCACCUCUUUGGACCCUAAAUUUCCCCCCUUUUUUGACCCUCAUGGUUGACCUUUGACCCCUUAGCCCAUAAUGACCUCCAGCUGACCUUUGACCCCCCCACGAUGACCAAAGGUCAACCACAGUUG